GUCUACAGCCAUACUACCCUGAAUGUGCCCGAUCCCAUCUGAUCUCAGAAGUUAAGCAGGGUCAGACCUGGUUAGAACUUGGUUGGGAGAAAAAGUGGCACAGGUAUAGACA
Molecule: ribosomal RNA, 112 nt
Filed under: Saimiri boliviensis boliviensis (Bolivian squirrel monkey)
Lineage: Eukaryota; Metazoa; Chordata; Mammalia; Primates; Cebidae
Source: RNAcentral